This 478-nucleotide ribosomal RNA is filed under the name uncultured bacterium. Its description in RNAcentral is "partial 16S ribosomal RNA". It matches the Rfam family "Bacterial small subunit ribosomal RNA", at positions 28 to 523 of the family's 1533-position model. The record is from RNAcentral.
GACGAACGCUGGCGGCGUGCUUAACACAUGCAAGUCGAACGGUAAGGCCCUUCGGGGUACACGAGUGGCGAACGGGCGAGUAACACGUGGGUGAUCUGCCCUGCACUUCGGGAUCAGCCAGGGCAACUGGGUCUAAUACCGGCUAGGACCACGGCCUGCAAGGGUGGGUGUGGAAAGCUUUUGCGGUGUGGGAUGGGCGCGCGGCCUAUCAGGUUGUUGGUGGGGUGAUGGCCUACCAAGGCGACGACGGGUAGCCGGCCUGGGAGGGUGACCGGCCACACUGGGACUGAGAUACGGCCCAGACUCCUACGGGGGGCAGCAGUGGGGAAUAUUGCACAAUGGGCGCAAGCCUGAUGCAGCGACGCCGCGUGAGGGAUGACGGCCUUCGGGUUGUAAACCUCUUUCAGCACCGACGAAGCGCAAGUGACGGUAGGUGCAGAAGAAGGACCGGCCAACUACGUGCCAGCCGCCGCAGUAA